RNAcentral lists this ribosomal RNA (485 nucleotides) under uncultured bacterium. RNAcentral describes it as "bacterial SSU rRNA". It matches the Rfam family "Bacterial small subunit ribosomal RNA", at positions 28 to 526 of the family's 1533-position model. The record is from RNAcentral.
GAUGAACGCUGGCGGCGUGCUUAACACAUGCAAGUCGAACGGAAAGGCCUCUGCUUGCAGAGGUACUCGAGUGGCGAACGGGUGAGUAACACGUGGGUGAUCUGCCCUGCACUUCGGGAUAAGCCUGGGAAACUGGGUCUAAUACCGGAUAGGACGAUGGUUUGGAUGCCAUUGUGGAAAGUUUUUUCGGUGUGGGAUGAGCUCGCGGCCUAUCAGCUUGUUGGUGGGGUAAUGGCCUACCAAGGCGUCGACGGGUAGCCGGCCUGAGAGGGUGUACGGCCACAUUGGGACUGAGAUACGGCCCAGACUCCUACGGGAGGCAGCAGUGGGGAAUAUUGCACAAUGGGCGCAAGCCUGAUGCAGCGACGCCGCGUGGGGGAUGACGGCCUUCGGGUUGUAAACUCCUUUCGUCAGGGACGAAGCGAAAGUGACGGUACCUGGAUAAGAAGCACCGGCUAACUACGUGCCAGCCGCCGCCGUAACAC